AUGAAUUGAACGGGGGCCCGCACAAGCGGGUGGAGCAUGUGGUUUUAAUUUCGACGCAACGCGAAGAACUUUACCUGGCCUUGACAUGCAGAGAACUUUCCAGAGAUGGAUUGGUGCCUUCGGGAACUCUGACACAGGUGGUGCAUGGCCGUCGUCAGCUCGUGUCGUGAGAUGUUGGGUUAAGUCCCGUAACGAGCGCAACCCCUAUCCCUAGUUGCUAGCAGUUCGGCUGAGAACUCUAGGGAGACUGCCGGUGACAAACCGGAGGAAGGUGGGGAUGACGUCAGGUCAUCAUGGCCCUUACGGCCAGGGCUACACACGUGCUACAAUGGCGCGCACAGAGGGCUGCAAACCCGCGAGGGGGAGCUAAUCUCACAAAACGCGUCGUAGUCCGGAUCGGAGUCUGCAACUCGACUCCGUGAAGUCGGAAUCGCUAGUAAUCGUGAAUCAGAAUGUCACGGUGAAUACGUUCCCGGGCCUUGUACACACCGCCCGUCACACCAUGGGAGUGGAUUGCACCAGAAGUGGUUAGUCUAACCUUCGGGAGGACGAUCACCACGGUGUGGUUCAUGACUGGGGUGAAGUCGUAACAAGGUAGCCGUA
This 603-nucleotide ribosomal RNA is filed under the name uncultured Marinobacter sp. RNAcentral describes it as "bacterial SSU rRNA". It matches the Rfam family "Bacterial small subunit ribosomal RNA", at positions 905 to 1504 of the family's 1533-position model. Lineage: Bacteria; Pseudomonadati; Pseudomonadota; Gammaproteobacteria; Pseudomonadales; Marinobacteraceae. The record is from RNAcentral.